GACGGAGGAUGCAAGCGUUAUCCGGAAUUAUUGGGCGUAAAGCGUCCGUAGGUGGCAGGCCAAGUCUGUUUUUAAAGAGUACAGCUCAACUGUAUAAAGGGAAUGGAAACUGGUCAGCUAGAGUUCGGUAGGGGCAGAGGGAAUUCCCGGUGUAGCGGUGAAAUGCGUAGAUAUCGGGAAGAACACCAGUGGCGAAAGCGCUCUGCUGGGCCUGAACUGACACUGAUGGACGAAAGCUAGGGGAGCGAAAGGG
RNAcentral lists this ribosomal RNA (253 nucleotides) under uncultured bacterium. RNAcentral's name for it is "partial 16S ribosomal RNA". It matches the Rfam family "Bacterial small subunit ribosomal RNA", at positions 524 to 776 of the family's 1533-position model. The record is from RNAcentral.